UGAAACGCCGCGUUUCACUUAAGGGCGUGGCAGUCAACGAUUGGUCUCAUGGGAAAAAAACAGAAAAAAACAUGCAAAAGCCAGGCAAAGGAAUUAAACACGAUCUGGGAACGCAGCAGCUAGGGUUUCAUAGCACCUUCAUCAUGUUCAUCAACACAUGAACUUUUUUCUCAGAAAUUAGCAAACUAUAUAUCAUCAUGUUC
Molecule: long non-coding RNA, 203 nt
Filed under: Lathyrus oleraceus (garden pea)
Lineage: Eukaryota; Viridiplantae; Streptophyta; Magnoliopsida; Fabales; Fabaceae
Description: Pisum sativum (pea) long non-coding RNA (PSAT_LNC003041)
Source: RNAcentral